This 252-nucleotide ribosomal RNA is filed under the name uncultured bacterium. RNAcentral describes it as "partial 16S ribosomal RNA". It matches the Rfam family "Bacterial small subunit ribosomal RNA", at positions 524 to 776 of the family's 1533-position model. The record is from RNAcentral.
UACGUAGGGGGGCAAGCGUUGUCCGGAAUCAUUGGGCGUAAAGAGCGUGUAGGCGGCUCGGUAAGUCCGUUCUGAAAGUCCAGGGCUCAACCCUGGGAUGCGGAUGGAUACUGUCGGGCUCGAGUCCGGAAGAGGCGAGUGGAAUUCCCGGUGUAGCGGUGAAAUGCGCAGAUAUCAGGAGGAACACCGGUGGCGAAGGCGGGUCUCUGGGCCGAUACUGACGCUGAGGAGCGAAGCGUGGGAGCAAACAGG